GCAUGGAUAGGUACAUGGAGCAGCAUGACACCAAGGGCAACUAUUAUGAUGCUUCUGCAAAGAAGUAGGGUUUCGUUGCCCUUUGUGUCAUGCAGCUCCUUGUUUCUAUUCAUGU
RNAcentral lists this microRNA precursor (115 nucleotides) under Picea abies (Norway spruce). RNAcentral's name for it is "miR11429d stem-loop (pab-MIR11429d)". Lineage: Eukaryota; Viridiplantae; Streptophyta; Pinopsida; Pinales; Pinaceae. The record is from miRBase by way of RNAcentral.